UGGGGAAUUUUGGACAAUGGGCGAAAGCCUGACCCAGCAAUGCCGCGUGUGUGAAGAAGGCCUUCGGGUUGUAAAGCACUUUUGUCCGGAAAGAAAUCCUUGGCUCUAAUACAGUCGGGGGAUGACGGUACCGGAAGAAUAAGCACCGGCUAACUACGUGCCAGCAGCCGCGGUAAUACGUAGGGUGCAAGCGUUAAUCGGAAUUACUGGGCGUAAAGCGUGCGCAGGCGGUUUGCUAAGACCGAUGUGAAAUCCCCGGGCUCAACCUGGGAACUGCAUUGGUGACUGGCAGGCUAGAGUAUGGCAGAGGGGGGUAGAAUUCCACGUGUAGCAGUGAAAUGCGUAGAGAUGUGGAGGAAUACCGAUGGCGAAGGCAGCCCCCUGGGCCAAUACUGACGCUCAUGCACGAAAGCGUGGGGAGCAAACAGGAUUAGAUACCCUGGUAGUCCACGCCCUAAAACGAUGUCAACUAGUUGUUGGGGAUUCAUUUCCUUAGUAACGUAGCUAACGCGUGAAGUUGACCNCCUGGGGAGUACGGUCGCAAGAUUAAAACUCAAAGGAAUUGACGGGGUCAUAGCUGUUUCC
This 585-nucleotide ribosomal RNA is filed under the name uncultured bacterium. RNAcentral's name for it is "partial 16S ribosomal RNA". It matches the Rfam family "Bacterial small subunit ribosomal RNA", at positions 355 to 937 of the family's 1533-position model. The record is from RNAcentral.